GAUGAACACUGGCGGCGUGCCUAAUACAUGCAAGUCGAGCGAACAGACGAGGAGCUUGCUCCUCUGACGUUAGCGGCGGACGGGUGAGUAACACGUGGAUAACCUACCUAUAAGACUGGGAUAACUUCGGGAAACCGGAGCUAAUACCGGAUAAUAUAUUGAACCGCAUGGUUCAAUAGUGAAAGACGGUUUUGCUGUCACUUAUAGAUGGAUCCGCGCCGCAUUAGCUAGUUGGUAAGGUAACGGCUUACCAAGGCAACGAUGCGUAGCCGACCUGAGAGGGUGAUCGGCCACACUGGAACUGAGACACGGUCCAGACUCCUACGGGAGGCAGCAGUAGGGAAUCUUCCGCAAUGGGCGAAAGCCUGACGGAGCAACGCCGUGUGAGUGAUGAAGGUCUUCGGAUCGUAAAACUCUGUUAUUAGGGAAGAACAAAUGUGUAAGUAACUAUGCACGUCUUGACGGUACCUAAUCAGAAAGCCACGGCUAACUACGUG
RNAcentral lists this ribosomal RNA (497 nucleotides) under uncultured bacterium. Its description in RNAcentral is "partial 16S ribosomal RNA". It matches the Rfam family "Bacterial small subunit ribosomal RNA", at positions 28 to 507 of the family's 1533-position model. The record is from RNAcentral.